AGCAAAAUUAACCGCCAAGAUUCCAGCGAUCAUGAAGUAAAACAAAUCCAAUCUUCCUUUGUUCAAAUCUUCAGCCAACCAGUUACCGCCAGCCGAGUUCUGCGUCGUCCUGUGUACCGUUGCAAUCAAGAAGCUGCCGAGGUAACUAGAAACUCCUCCUCCCACAUAGAAGAUGGAGCCGGCGAAACUCCUCAUGUUCUCGGGGAACUGCUUGUAGUAAAACUCCAUCUGUCCAAUAGCUCCAAAUGCCUCGGCUACACCCGCGAGUGUGAGCUGCGGUAUCAGCCACAUAGCUGACAUUGAGGAGAUUUCUCCCUUCCGUGGCGCCAUACCGAGUGUUGGUUUAGUCAAUGCGAAAGUCCUCCUCCGUUCCUCGACGAAACCAGACACUACCAAGCUCAAAAAGGCGAAGAAAAUCCCGGUUCCUAUCCUUUGCAAGAGCGUGAUCCCGGUGUCUAUACCGGUGAUUCUUCUCAAGGUAGGCACGAGGACGCGGUCGUAGAUUAUGAUGAAAACAGUCAUUCCUGUCAUCAAGAAGACCACAUAGGUGGCUGCAGGGAUCACAAACCCUCCAGAGCCUAAGCGACGAUCGCUCUGGAGGGCUUGAAAGACAGGAUAGGUCAUCUGUUGCGUGAUGGUCAAGUAAUAGAUCGAUGAAGCAAACCAUAUAGGAAGCACUCUCACAAUGCACUUCACUUCUUCAACUUGUUGCAUUGUACAUAGCUUCCAUGGAUCCGUAGGCUUACCAUCAGCAUCCAACUUGUCUUCAGGAGCCAAGAUCGCCGCCUUAUCAAGAAACCUACCAAAAACAGAAAGCUUGCUUUCUAAGUAAACAAAAGUGGAAAGAUAUUAUUUAUAACCGUGUGUCUUUACCUGAACUGGUCGGUGUACUUGAGCUUAGAGUUUGCGUAGUUUAGUGGGUAGUAAUUGUAAAGGUUAACCCAAGGCUGCUUCACAGCCUUUAACCCACGUUUCUUGAUAGCAACCGUUAUAACUUGAGCUAUACUAGCCAAUGGACUACCUGAGGCUUUGAUCUUGACAUACAACUUAUCACCCGCAAAGAAGAUCAGGUCUAAAAGCUUCCAGAAGAUGAGAAACCACAUGAUCAUUAGACUUUGUUCUUGUCUUGUUGUUUGAUCACAUCUCCAUUUGUUUCAUAAGCUGUCACUUCAUCAUCACUUCCUUUGUACCUAUACCAUCUUGACAUCACCAAGAAGUAAGCAAAAUUAACCGCCAAGAUUCCAGCGAUCAUGAAGUAAAACAAAUCCAAUCUUCCUUUGUUCAAAUCUUCAGCCAACCAGUUACCGCCAGCCGAGUUCUGCGUCGUCCUGUGUACCGUUGCAAUCAAGAAGCUGCCGAGGUAACUAGAAACUCCUCCUCCCACAUAGAAGAUGGAGCCGGCGAAACUCCUCAUGUUCUCGGGGAACUGCUUGUAGUAAAACUCCAUCUGUCCAAUAGCUCCAAAUGCCUCGGCUACACCCGCGAGUGUGAGCUGCGGUAUCAGCCACAUAGCUGACAUUGAGGAGAUUUCUCCCUUCCGUGGCGCCAUACCGAGUGUUGGUUUAGUCAAUGCGAAAGUCCUCCUCCGUUCCUCGACGAAACCAGACACUACCAAGCUCAAAAAGGCGAAGAAAAUCCCGGUUCCUAUCCUUUGCAAGAGCGUGAUCCCGGUGUCUAUACCGGUGAUUCUUCUCAAGGUAGGCACGAGGACGCGGUCGUAGAUUAUGAUGAAAACAGUCAUUCCUGUCAUCAAGAAGACCACAUAGGUGGCUGCAGGGAUCACAAACCCUCCAGAGCCUAAGCGACGAUCGCUCUGGAGGGCUUGAAAGACAGGAUAGGUCAUCUGUUGCGUGAUGGUCAAGUAAUAGAUCGAUGAAGCAAACCAUAUAGGAAGCACUCUCACAAUGCACUUCACUUCUUCAACUUGUUGCAUUGUACAUAGCUUCCAUGGAUCCGUAGGCUUACCAUCAGCAUCCAACUUGUCUUCAGGAGCCAAGAUCGCCGCCUUAUCAAGAAACC
Molecule: long non-coding RNA, 2019 nt
Filed under: Brassica napus (rape)
Lineage: Eukaryota; Viridiplantae; Streptophyta; Magnoliopsida; Brassicales; Brassicaceae
Description: long non-coding RNA (BNAP_LNC001866)
Source: RNAcentral